GUGCGUCUCCGCCCCCCUCACUCCCAAUUGGCCGCAGUCCUUGAAACCCACAGUUCUCUAUGCAAAUUUAAAGGACUCUCAGCUUCCAUUUGAUGGCCACUUUGAGGAGAACCUCGUUCACUCUGAGAGGAGCUCAGGGAGUUCUCGCGCGGGCCAGCUCCCGGGAGAGUGGCGUCACCCAUACGUUCCCCGAGAGGACUUGGAGCGGGACCGGGACUUGGAGUAGGGACGAAACCGACACCUGACGCCCAGGAGGAACUGGCAGACCGGAAACAGGGAAGAGGUGACGUCAGAGUGCUGGCGUGGCCUGGGCCAUUUCCAACGGGAUCUUAAAGCGGCGUGCUGCACGCGUAGGGGUGGAGUCUAGGCCGAUUUUCCCGCGCUUCAUUGCCCCGCCCCCUGGAGGCGGGGGAAGGGGAGGGAAUACUCGGAAAACUUGUUGCCCUGACAUGCUCAUCAGCACGCAGAAUUUCAGAAGUCGUCUGCGAACCACUGCUCCGCAAACAAUACCCCGGCGGCGAGCCUCUGCAGCCUGCAGCGCACCCAGCCCCUCACAGCAGGCACGUGGGUAUUAAAAGUGGUUCUGUUACCUUGCCCUGGGGUCACUGGACCUCUGGACCCAGGAUAUUCCGUAUGCCCUGAAAGUUGCGGGGAUAAUAGCAACUGUACUGAGGUGUGAAGUGGCACUUCUGGAUGGGACUCUUGGGGCCACCACUUACCAUAUGGUUCCCUUGGGCAAGUCACUCAACCUCCCUGAACCAGUUUUCUCAUGGGUAAAAUUGGCAUUGUAAUAACUAUUGACGUUGUUUUAUGAGGAUUAGGAGCAUUUAUAAUUUAAAAGUGCUUUGUAAAGUGAUGGACAAGUGGAAUUAGUAUCCCACACUCCGCCACCUUCUUUCUCUUGGUUGCCUACAGUUGCUGCAGCUCACAGCGCUCUUCCAUCUCUGAGCAACUAACUAGAGUCGCAUAUCAGAUGUAGCCAACCCGCAAUCCAUUCCCACCUCCUUCUCUUAGUCUUUCUGUAUGGAAUAAUAAUUACUACUGCUAUACACUACUAUGUGUGGGAACUUAAUUAUAUUAACUCAUUCCUUACCACAGCCCUGUGAAGGAGGUACUAUUAUUACCUCCAUUUUACUGAGAAGGAAACUUUUGCACAGACAAGUUAAGUUAGGUGACUUAACCAAGGUCAAAGGCAAUGGAGUUGAAAUGGUCCAGAAAGCUAAUCACUGUAUUUCACAGAUUCCCUUGCCAGGACAGUUCUAAGUAGAAAUUUGUUCUUCAAUUAAGUGCACUGUUAAUUCAUUUAAGUAAUAUUCUAAUUCAGUAUUUCUUGAGCACCAUCAAUGAGUAAAACUCUGUCACAGGCACUGAGGAUACAGCAGUGAACAAAGUAGACAAGAAUCCCUACCCUCAUGAAACAUACAUUCCUGUGGAGAAGACAAGCAGUAAAUAUGAUAAAUAAGUAAAAUACAUAGAAACAUGUUACAAAUGAUAAUUUCCAAAGAGAAAAUUAAGCAGGGCUAACAUGCUACAAAAAGACAUGGAGAAACUAAGUACACAUUGAUUGCUAAGUGAAAGAAGCCAAUCUGAAAGGGCUAUAUGCUGUAUGAUUCCAACUAUAUGACACUCUGGAAAAGGAAAAACUAUGGAGAUAGUAAAAAGAUAGUAAAAAGUGGUUGCCAAGCAUUCAGAUGGAGGGAGGGACAAGUUGGUGGAGCACAGGGAAACAUCAAGGCAGUGCAACUAUACUGUAUGAUGCUGUGCUCGCAGGUACAUGACACAUUUGUCAAAAGCCCUAAUGUAAAUGGUGGACAUUAAUUAAUAAUAAGUAAUGUAUCAAUAGUGGCUCAUUAAUUGUAACAAAUGUACCACACUAAUACAAGAUGUUAAUAAUAGGUGAAACUAAGCAGAAGAAGUGUAUGGGGAACUCAAUUUCUGCUCAAUUUUUCUAUAAACCUAAAACCGCUAUAAGAAAGUCUAUUAAUUUUUUUAAUGUAAAAAAAUAAAGCAGGGAACAAGGACAAAGUGUGGGGAGGGUUGCAAUUUUAGAUAGAGAGGACAGUGAAGGCUUCUGAGAACGUGGCAUUAAGGCUGAAGUUUGGUGAGUAAGCCAUAUAGCAGUCUGCAUAGCGAUCUGCAAGAAUAUUCAGGAAGAAGGAACAAAUGCAAGGUGGGAGUGUGCUCCAGAGAGGUAAGGGCGUGGGAAGAGUGAGUCAGGUCAUGGGAUGUUUUGGGGACUAUUGGAAGGACUUAGACUUUUUAUCAGAGUGGGAUGGAAAAGAGACCAAUUGUGGCCUGACUUAUCUUUUAAAAUGGUUGGAUGUGGGUCAUGAGGGAAAAAAAAAAACUCAAAAGCUUGGAAUCUGAAGAAGUAGAAGAAUAGUAGUAGUAUUUAUGGAGCUGGGAAGACUACAGGAGAAGCAGGUUCCGGGGUAAGAUCAGUAGUUCAACUUGAGUCAUGUUCAGUCAUAUUACACAUAUAAGUGGAGAUACAAACUUGGGUGUCAACAGCUUAUAGACUGUCUGAAAUCCAAGUCAAAAUGGGUGAGAUCACCAAAGGAAUGUAUGAAGAUGGAAGGGGAAGAAGACGCAGGACUGAGCCAUGGGGAACUCCAGAGUUUAAAGGUCAGGGAAGUGAGAG
This is a long non-coding RNA of Manis javanica (Malayan pangolin), 2641 nucleotides long. RefSeq lists it as uncharacterized. Lineage: Eukaryota; Metazoa; Chordata; Mammalia; Pholidota; Manidae. The record is from RefSeq and is a predicted model, not a curated record.